This 429-nucleotide ribosomal RNA is filed under the name uncultured bacterium. RNAcentral describes it as "partial 16S ribosomal RNA". It matches the Rfam family "Bacterial small subunit ribosomal RNA", at positions 354 to 797 of the family's 1533-position model. The record is from RNAcentral.
GUCAAGAAUCUUCCUCAAUGGACGAAAGUCUGAAGGAGCGACGCCGCGUGUAUGAAGAAGCCUUUCGAGGUGUAAAAUACUUUUAACUGUGACGAAACAAUGACGGUAACAGUUGAAUAAGGGGCUGCUAACCUCGUGCCAGCAGCAGCGGUAAUACGAGGGCCCCAAGCAUUAUCCGGAUUUAUUGGGCGUAAAGCGUCCGUAGGUGGUUUACCGCAUCUCCUGUUAAAUCUUGAGGCUCAACCUUAAGUCCGCGGGAGAGAUGGGUAGACUAGAGACUGGAAGAGGCAAACGGAAUUGCUGGUGUAGGGGUUAAAUCCAUUAAUAUCAGCAAGAACACCAAAUGCGAAGGCAGUUUGCUAGGACAGUUCUGACACUCAGUGGACGAAAGCGUGGGGAGCGAAUGGGAUUAGAUACCCCGGUAGUCCA